UCACUAGAUAUCUUGGGAGAUGGUAGAUGGACCGGGUUCAUAGGGAAUCCUACCGUGAACGUUGUCUCAUACCGGACAGGGUAUGGAGACUUGGUCAUUUGGUGCUUAUACCAAACGGGGUAUGGGGACGACCCGUAUCACCCUCAUACCGGAUGGGGUACUGAGAUUUAAUGUCUUGACACUCAUACCGGACAGGGUAUGAGGACGAUUCUGUAAUUAAGAUUGUUAAGG
This 231-nucleotide long non-coding RNA is filed under the name Carica papaya (papaya). RNAcentral describes it as "long non-coding RNA (CPAP_LNC014425)". The record is from RNAcentral. Lineage: Eukaryota; Viridiplantae; Streptophyta; Magnoliopsida; Brassicales; Caricaceae.